CUAACUCUAACCGUCUCCAUGUCUCCAUUAACUCCGCUUCUCCAUCCUCCACUCCUUCCCCGUGCAUCUUCACGUCUCUCAAUGCUCUCUAUCUUCAAGAAAUGUUAGGCCUCUCCCGACGGUUCGGAUUCAGUGCAAAGUGAGAAAGGGAGUGAGAGAGACACAAAUAUCUUCAUUCUUCUUAAUCGUGCGGCAUAUAACCCAACAACAAACAAAGUUAGCGAUCCCUUAGUGGCGACGGAGAUCUGGGUUUGGUCUGGGCAACAUGGAGUCGGGAGAGGACCAGAGGAUGAGUAGCAAAGGAGGGCAAAAUCAAGAAAAUCCUCAAGAUCCUGUUUAUGGCGUAUUAAAUUUACGGCUCGUGUCCUAGCAUGUCUAAUGAACUAACUGUUUUCUUUAAUUAGCAGUUAGUUUUACUAGGUAGUGACAAUGUCGACUCCUGCAAGGAAGAGGCUGGUGAGAGAUUUUAAGAGGCUACAACAAGAUCCACCUGCAAUAAUCAGCGGUGCACCUCAGGACAACUAUAUCAUGCUGGAAUGCUGUAAUAUUUGGUCAUGAUGAUGUUCCAUGGGACGGAGGGAAUCAUGGUAGUUGAACAUAGCAGGGAAGAUCGAGGCAGCUGUAAAGAAAAAGGAAGACGGGAUAUAAGAAGUAUAUUUCAAGGCUGAUAUGGCAGAGCAUCAAAGAGAUAUAAGAAGGUAUAUUUACGGGUGUCAUUGUGUAUUAGUAGUCAUACAUGUUUAUAUGUAUUAUAAUAAUUUCCUUUGGAAGAUAGACACAUAUUAUUGGAAAAAGAUGUUUCUCUUGCAAUCAUUUUUCUGUUACUUUCUUUUGACUGUAAUUUUCUCCA
Long non-coding RNA from Prosopis cineraria, 850 nucleotides. RefSeq lists it as uncharacterized. The record is from RefSeq and is a predicted model, not a curated record. Lineage: Eukaryota; Viridiplantae; Streptophyta; Magnoliopsida; Fabales; Fabaceae. The transcript is spliced from 3 exons.